Molecule: ribosomal RNA, 849 nt
Filed under: Beauveria bassiana
Lineage: Eukaryota; Fungi; Ascomycota; Sordariomycetes; Hypocreales; Cordycipitaceae
Description: partial large subunit ribosomal RNA
Rfam family: Eukaryotic large subunit ribosomal RNA
Source: RNAcentral
AAGAACCCAACAGGGAUUGCCCCAGUAACGGCGAGUGAAGCGGCAACAGCUCAAAUUUGAAAUCUGGCUCUCAGGGCCCGAGUUGUAAUUUGUAGAGGAUGCUUUUGGCGAGGUGCCUUCCGAGUUCCCUGGAACGGGACGCCACAGAGGGUGAGAGCCCCGUAUGGUCGGACACCGAGCCUCUGUAAAGCUCCUUCGACGAGUCGAGUAGUUUGGGAAUGCUGCUCAAAAUGGGAGGUAUAUGUCUUCUAAAGCUAAAUAUUGGCCAGAGACCGAUAGCGCACAAGUAGAGUGAUCGAAAGAUGAAAAGCACUUUGAAAAGAGGGUUAAAAAGUACGUGAAAUUGUUGAAAGGGAAGCGCCUAUGACCAGACUUGCGCCCGGUGAAUCACCCAGCGUUCUCGCUGGUGCACUUUGCCGGGCACAGGCCAGCAUCAGUUCAGCGCGGGGGAGAAAGGCUUCGGGAAUGUGGCUCCCUCGGGAGUGUUAUAGCCCGCUGCGUAAUGCCCUGCGCCGGACUGAGGUACGCGCAUUGCAAGGAUGCUGGCGUAAUGGUCAUCAGCGACCCGUCUUGAAACACGGACCAAGGAGUCGUCUUCGUAUGCGAGUGUUCGGGUGUCAAACCCCUACGCGUAAUGAAAGUGAACGCAGGUGAGAGCUUCGGCGCAUCACCGACCGAUCCUGAUGUUCUCGGAUGGAUUUGAGUAAGAGCAUACGGGGCCGGACCCGAAAGAAGGUGAACUAUGCCUGUAUAGGGUGAAGCCAGAGGAAACUCUGGUGGAGGCUCGCAGCGGUUCUGACGUGCGAAUCGAUCGUCAAUAUGGGCAUGGGGGCGAAAGACUAAUCGACC